RNAcentral lists this ribosomal RNA (510 nucleotides) under uncultured bacterium. RNAcentral describes it as "partial 16S ribosomal RNA". It matches the Rfam family "Bacterial small subunit ribosomal RNA", at positions 28 to 507 of the family's 1533-position model. The record is from RNAcentral.
GACGAACGCUGGCGGCGUGCUUAACACAUGCAAGUCGAACGAAGAGCGAUGGAAGCUUGCUUCUAUCAAUCUUAGUGGCGAACGGGUGAGUAACGCGUAAUCAACCUGCCCUUCAGAGGGGGACAACAGUUGGAAACGACUGCUAAUACCGCAUACGAUCUAAUCUCGGCAUCGAGGAUAGAUGAAAGGUGGCCUCCACAUGUAAGCUAUCACUGAAGGAGGGGAUUGCGUCUGAUUAGCUAGUUGGAGGGGUAACGGCCCACCAAGGCGAUGAUCAGUAGCCGGUCUGAGAGGAUGAACGGCCACAUUGGGACUGAGACACGGCUCAGACUCCUACGGGAGGCAGCAGUGGGGAAUCUUCCGCAAUGGACGAAAGUCUGACGGAGCAACGCCGCGUGAGUGAUGACGGCCUUCGGGUUGUAAAGCUCUGUUAAUCGGGACGAAAGGCCUUCUUGCGAAUAGUGAGAAGGAUUGACGGUACCGGAAUAGAAAGCCACGGCUAACUACGUG